Molecule: long non-coding RNA, 690 nt
Filed under: Cucumis sativus (cucumber)
Lineage: Eukaryota; Viridiplantae; Streptophyta; Magnoliopsida; Cucurbitales; Cucurbitaceae
Description: long non-coding RNA (CSAT_LNC001989)
Source: RNAcentral
AGAAAAGAAAAAGAAGCAGAUAGGAAGAGGGGUAGCCGCAAGCUGAAAAACAUAGAAGAGAGUUUUUUCUAGCAAAAAAGAUCGAUAGAGAAGAGUGCAGUGCAGACGGUUUUCGACAUUCCAACAGGAAGAGAGACGUUGGUCGACAAAGAGGAAGACGUUAAAGGUUUAGUCGUGGGUUUCAAGGUGGACAGAAAAUGAGAGUUUUGGGGUUGUUUACGAUGGCUCCAGUGUUUGUUUCGAUAACUUCACAACGGGUUUAACGAAUGGUUUAAUAAUGGUUUUCGAGCCGUCAAAGGUUGGUUUAGUUGUGGACUCUUCUUGGGGUAGCCGACACAAGAGACAAACACAACGAGAAAGAGAUUUUUUCUUGCAAACAAGAGAGGAAAAAAGUGCAGCUGAUGGAGAGGAAGACGUUGGAGUUUCGAUGUCAACGACGAUGAGAUUUUUCAAGCAGCAUUUGACGACGUUCGAAGUUGGUUGUGGGUUUGUGGCAUAGAAGUUUGAUUGUGUGUUGGGAGUUUGAUUUUGAUAGGUGUUAAUUGUGUGUUGAGAGUUUGAUUUUAAUUAGAAGGUAUUUGUGAUUUCUUGAAUAAUUGUAUAAGAUUAAAUUUUUUUGUUAGGUAAUCGAGACAUUGUUUCUGCAAUUAUUUUUUCAUAUUUUUCGAUUUUGCUAUUUUACCAAUUUAA